AGGACGAACGCUGGCGGCGUGCUUAACACAUGCAAGUCGAGCGGAAAGGCCCUUCGGGGUACUCGAGCGGCGAACGGGUGAGUAACACGUGAGUAACCUGCCCUGGACUUUGGGAUAACCCUCGGAAACGGGGGCUAAUACCGGAUAUGACACAGCUUCGCAUGAGGUCUGUGUGGAAAGUUUUUCGGUCUGGGAUGGGCUCGCGGCCUAUCAGCUUGUUGGUGGGGUGAUGGCCUACCAAGACGACGACGGGUAGCCGGCCUGAGAGGGCGACCGGCCACACUGGGACUGAGACACGGCCCAGACUCCUACGGGAGGCAGCAGUGGGGAAUAUUGCACAAUGGGCGGAAGCCUGAUGCAGCGACGCCGCGUGAGGGAUGACGGCCUUCGGGUUGUAAACCUCUUUCAGCAGGGACGAAGCGAGAGUGACGGUACCUGCAGAAGAAGCGCCUGCCAACUACGUGCCAGCAGCCGCGGUAA
This 480-nucleotide ribosomal RNA is filed under the name uncultured bacterium. Its description in RNAcentral is "SSU rRNA". It matches the Rfam family "Bacterial small subunit ribosomal RNA", at positions 26 to 523 of the family's 1533-position model. The record is from RNAcentral.